UCUGUGCUGUGCUUGUGAUGUGACCUUGGGGAGUGAUCGGCUCUCCCAAAGGGACAGCAGGAGGGAUCCACACGAAUGUGAAGACUCCGAGGUGUCCUCAGUAUCUCCUCCACUUCACCCCACAAUCAGCCCACCUGCUCAGCCAGCCUCAUGCCCUGGCCCAGGCUGCAUCAGCCAACUCCAGGUCCCCACUCUGCUCUUCCCUCACACCCGGGCUGCUCUCUGCACCUCCGGCCCCAAGUCAUGGCCUAAUGCUCACAGGCCCUGAGGCCCAGGGCUGGGGUGGAACUGUGCCAGGUCCCUGUGUGGAGACCGUCCUGAGGCUCACUGGGCCUCCCGGUCAGCUCCACUGGGGCUGCAGGAAUCUAAGCCCCUUCCUCUGUUCUCUCACUGCAAGUUUCCUCUGCACACUAAGGCCUCUUUGGCAAGCCACCUACUUCUCAUUUAUCUGUCCCCACCCACGGGAACAGAAGGCCACAAAGCAAGGAGCAGGUCUGCUGCAUGCACUGUGGUGUCCUCAGGGCCUGGUGCAGUUGGGCCUCAACUAGCACCUGUGGGGUGGGUGGAUGCUCCCUGUUCCUUUGCUAAGGGUAGUCAUUCACAUGCCUUCUGCCAGCAGGUCCCGACCAGCUCUGCUGGUCUCUCCUUACAGAGCUUGACAGGCCUUUCCCAGGAUGGGGCCCAAUGCUUCUCCCCAGCCUGUUUCCCCAAUUCCUGUCCCCUUCUGAACAAACAGCCACAGCAGAUCAAGUCUCACUGGAGCCUCCCCUCUGCUGCUUCCCAAGGUCCCAAGGCCCUGGAUUUCCCCAUCCUGCCUUGGGAGCCUGCCUUCCACGCAAACUCUGCCCUCAUCCAUCUGCACCUAGGCCUCCAGCCUGUGCCUCUGACUCCUUCUCACUGUGGCCACUGGGCCUUCCUGAAAGGCCCAUCUGGUGACAUCUCUCUGCAGCUGAAGCAUGCCCCAGGCAUGGCUCUCCAGUGCUGCCAUCCCACCUGGUGCACUCUGUACUGUGGUGCUGGAGUGGCCCGCAUCCUGCCAAGCGCCUCCCACUGCACUGCCUUCCACCCAGUAGCUAGGGUUCCUUAUCCUUCCACUCCUGAGUGUGUUCUCUGACAGCGCCAUUGUGGCCCAGGGCCUCCCAGGCCCUGCACCCCUCGACUCCCACAGCCUAACUGACUUGCAGUUACUGUCUGGCACCAAAUGCUGCUGACGCCAUGGUCAAGCUGGGGUCUCUGGGGCCAGCUAGGUGGCUGAGUGCCCUGUGCAAGUCACAGUAGACCCUGCCUCCGUGUGAGGUUGAGGGAGAAGGAGAGCAUCGCCCUUUCAAAUUGCACAGACGCCGGACAAAACCUGACCAGCCAAGACACACCGCACAUCUUCAGAGAAUAUUCUCUAGGAUGACGGCUUCUCCUUGGCACCACCACGUGCCCUGGGAGAGCGGAGCAGGUCUGUGUCCCUUCCGAGCCACCUGUCCAGGGCUGGCCAGCACCUCAUGGCUUCCUUCCUUCUCUCACUCCCUCCACAGACAUCUGCUGAGUCCCACCUGGCCUAGGCUCCUGAGUACAAGAGUGAGUAAGAUAGACAAGCUUCCUGUCCUCGGCAGCUGAGGGAAUAGACACAGAGAACAUCAUCCCGUGUGAGUCACAGAGACAGACUUCUCAACGGAGAAACAGAACAUGUCAAAGGCCUGGGGCAGGAAAGAGGCUGGCUGCCAAGCGUGAAGAAUGGAGGAGGCUACGAAGCUAGAGAACCCUGGGGACAGGGGCCGAGGUGUGUGGCCAACCCUGGAAGGUCAUAGGCUAUGGGGAGGAGUUGCUGGGUCUGUGUCCCACGAGAUGACUGUGGCAUUUGAAACAGGGUCACAAAAAAAAGAAAAAAGAAAGAAAAAGAAACAGGGACACAAUCCAACAUGGCGUAAAGGCUCCUUCCGGCCACCUGGGAACAGGUGAGUAAGGGGCCCGGAGAGGACAUGGGGCCUGGAAGGCCGUCCUUUCACCUCUUC
Long non-coding RNA from Fukomys damarensis (Damara mole-rat), 2003 nucleotides. RefSeq lists it as uncharacterized. The record is from RefSeq and is a predicted model, not a curated record. NCBI's taxonomy places the organism in Eukaryota, Metazoa, Chordata, Mammalia, Rodentia, Bathyergidae. The transcript has 3 exons.